Molecule: long non-coding RNA, 787 nt
Organism: Lathyrus oleraceus (garden pea)
Lineage: Eukaryota; Viridiplantae; Streptophyta; Magnoliopsida; Fabales; Fabaceae
Exons: 2
Source: RefSeq, a predicted model, not a curated record
AUAAGCAAAGUGGAUGUACUGCUUAGAAAAACCUCCCUUCCUUCCUCUUCACAUCUUCACAUCCAAACCUCCCUUCCUCUCUCAUAACUCUCAUCCUUGUCAUAAUUUGCUCUACCGCGCCGGAGGCGGCAUAUCAAGGCUAAUUAGUACCAAAACGCCACCAAAAGACUCACCUAUUCGUCUUCUCUCUAUUUCUCACCAUCGUUUCCUAUUUCAUCCACGAAACCCAAACGAAAUCCAUUCUCACAGUAAACCCCAGAUCUAAGCAAAAUAUGAAUUAAAUUCCAUACAAGCUAUGGUUCAUGCAAUUACAUGAGGGUUGUGGUUCUACGCAACAAGCACAACACAAUGGCAAGGAGAAAGGUGCACACAGAAGAAGAAAAGGAUAACUUAUGAGCUUAUCUGCAGGAGUAGCUCUGAAGGCCCUUCGAAUUUGGUGUUGACUCACAAGAAAACCAGAGAUUGGCUUAGAAACCCAGGGUUGUUGUAUGCUUGGUUGGCCAUAACACAAUGGUGAUUUAGCAAGGGACUAUCAAGGUUGGAAAGGCAUGAUGACACCAUGGAUCAUGAAGGAGUUUUGGAUAAAUUGAAUACUUGUAGGACCAUAGAUGAAAGACCUUGAGGAUGAAAAGAAAAGUAGUUUGACUUUGGUCAACUGUUUGAUCAAAAAGUCAACAGUUGAUCAAAAGUAACUCUAGGUCCUAAAUGACUUUUUUGUAUAAUUUUGUUACUCUCCCUCUUGGAAUGCAAUUUUAUGAUUUUGUAAUGAAAAAUGCCCCUUUUGAAU